Molecule: small RNA, 383 nt
Filed under: Mus musculus (house mouse)
Lineage: Eukaryota; Metazoa; Chordata; Mammalia; Rodentia; Muridae
Source: RNAcentral
AUCUCUUGGUACAUGAGUGGCUACCACACUGGCUACUAUAUGGGUUUCAGACAAAAUAAAAAAGAAGGAAAGUGCUCACAUACAAAUUAAGAAAAUGAAAGUCAAGUUUCCACAGACGACAGUGAACACUCCUCCAGAUCGCUCAGAAGUAAAGCACACAGCAAGUCCAAAGCUGCUCCGUGGACCUCAUUUCUUCCUCCACCACCCCCAAUGCCAGGGUCAGGAUUAGGACCAGGAAAGCCAGGUCUAAAAUUCAACGGCCCGCCGCCGCCGCCUCCACUACCACCUCCCCCCUUCCUGCCGUGCUGGAUGCCCCCGUUCCCUUCAGGACCACCAAUAAUCCCGCCACCCCCUCCCAUCUCUCCCGACUGUCUGGAUGACAC